UCUUCAUUCUGUAUGCUCUUUCACCGGUCAGAGAGGCGAGAGAGUGUUCAAAAUGAAGAGA
RNAcentral lists this microRNA precursor (61 nucleotides) under Pristionchus pacificus. RNAcentral's name for it is "mir-8364 microRNA precursor family". It matches the Rfam family "mir-8364 microRNA precursor family". Lineage: Eukaryota; Metazoa; Nematoda; Chromadorea; Rhabditida; Neodiplogasteridae. The record is from Rfam by way of RNAcentral.